CACGUCUGUCCGUCUGAGUGCGCGCGCACCUCAGCCCUGCUUUUUGAUACAAAGUCCUCAAAAGCGGCCCCCUCUCCAAGAUCACCGGGUGUCAGCUGUCCAGAAGGGGGAACGCGUCAGACUUGGCCAACUGAGGCUGGGCUGGACCCCUAUUGUGGAAUCGCGGACACUUCCUACAGUUGUCGAACGCAAUCCGUCUACACCACCUUGUGUCACUACCUACCACCAUGGGUUUGGAGCUCUACCUGGACCUGCUGUCGCAGCCCAGCCGCGCGGUCUACAUCUUCGCCAAGAAGAAUGGCAUCCCCUUUCAGUUGCGUACCGUGGAUUUACUCAAAGGUUGGCCCAUUUACCCCUAGACCAUGUUAGUUCUUCACAUUCUGCCUGGGUACAAUCCCCCUAUCAUCUGACACCCCCUCCCCCCAUAGGAAUGCUCUGCGUUCAGAGCCCUCUUUAAACUUAACUUGUACUCUAACAAGAGAGACUUUCAGUCCUGAGAUGUGGGGGAGAAAAAAGUGAAGGAUCCCCACCGUUCCUGCUUUGAAGGCACGCAGUGUGUGCUGGAAAGCGAGAGUUGACUCUAGGAAUGCUGCCUGAGCCCUUGCAUACAUUUUCUGGCUUCUUCUUUCCCAGGGCAGCACUUGAGCGAGCAAUUCUCCCAGGUGAACUGCUUAAAGAAAGUGCCUGUCCUCAAAGACGGAAGCUUCGUGUUGACCGAAAGGUGCAGCUGUAAAUAAACCCAGAGCCCUCACUACCUCCCCUCAGCUUCCUUUGGACGCCCCGCUUCGGUCGGGUGGGGAUGGGGUUGAU
This 810-nucleotide long non-coding RNA is filed under the name Rattus norvegicus (Norway rat). Its description in RNAcentral is "long non-coding RNA NONRATT017302". The record is from RNAcentral. Lineage: Eukaryota; Metazoa; Chordata; Mammalia; Rodentia; Muridae.